This 267-nucleotide ribosomal RNA is filed under the name uncultured prokaryote. Its description in RNAcentral is "partial 16S ribosomal RNA". It matches the Rfam family "Bacterial small subunit ribosomal RNA", at positions 524 to 792 of the family's 1533-position model. The record is from RNAcentral.
UACGUAGGGGCGAGCGUUAUCCGGAAUUAUUGGGCGUAAAGGGUUCGCAGGUGGUCUGUUAAGUCAGAUGUGAAAGGCAGUGGCUCAACCAUUGCAAGCAUUUGAAACUGGCAGACUUGAGUACAGGAGAGGAAAGCGGAAUUCCUGGUGUAGCGGUGAAAUGCGUAGAUAUUAGGAGGAACACCAGUGGCGAAGGCGGCUUUAUGGACUGAAACUGACACUGAGGAACGAAAGCGUGGGGAGCAAACAGGAUUAGAUACCCUGGUA